This 224-nucleotide unclassified non-coding RNA is filed under the name Hevea brasiliensis (rubber tree). Lineage: Eukaryota; Viridiplantae; Streptophyta; Magnoliopsida; Malpighiales; Euphorbiaceae. The record is from RNAcentral.
GCCGACGUAAUCAUUGCCAUAGUGCCAAAAUAAGGUACCUGGUAAUGAUAUGUGCAACUAGAAAGUCGCUGAAUGGCUCAGUGAAACUAUCGAUAUGAUCGGAAAGUUCAUCGAGAUUUGAUGCGUGGUGUGAGGGACGAUGUGCUUAGAGGUAGUACAUCGUUUCCAUCAGUACAGGGUUGACGUCCCUCUGCCACUCAUUGUCAGAGAAAGGAGUGGAGCCA